Molecule: ribosomal RNA, 217 nt
Filed under: uncultured Pseudomonas sp.
Lineage: Bacteria; Pseudomonadati; Pseudomonadota; Gammaproteobacteria; Pseudomonadales; Pseudomonadaceae
Description: partial 16S ribosomal RNA
Rfam family: Bacterial small subunit ribosomal RNA
Source: RNAcentral
UGGGGACAACGUUUCGAAAGGAACGCUAAUACCGCAUACGUCCUACGGGAGAAAGCGAGGGGACCUUCGGGCCUUGCGCUAUCAGAUGAGCCUAGGUCGGAUUAGCUAGUUGGNGAGGUAAUGGCUCACCAAGGCGACGAUCCGUAACUGGUCUGAGAGGAUGAUCAGUCACACUGGAACUGAGACACGGUCCAGACUCCUACGGGAGGCAGCAGCG